This 253-nucleotide ribosomal RNA is filed under the name uncultured bacterium. Its description in RNAcentral is "partial 16S ribosomal RNA". It matches the Rfam family "Bacterial small subunit ribosomal RNA", at positions 524 to 776 of the family's 1533-position model. The record is from RNAcentral.
UACGAAGGGGGCUAGCGUUGUUCGGAAUUACUGGGCGUAAAGCGCGCGCAGGCGGCUAUCCAAGUCAGUGGUGAAAUCCUGGAGCUCAACUCCAGAACUGCCUUCGAUACUGGAAGACUUGAGUCCGGGAGAGGUGAGUGGAACUGCGAGUGUAGAGGUGAAAUUCGUAGAUAUUCGCAAGAACACCAGUGGCGAAGGCGGCUCACUGGCCCGGUACUGACGCUGAGGUGCGAAAGCGUGGGGAGCAAACAGG